This 286-nucleotide long non-coding RNA is filed under the name Theobroma cacao (cacao). RNAcentral describes it as "long non-coding RNA (TCAC_LNC005093)". Lineage: Eukaryota; Viridiplantae; Streptophyta; Magnoliopsida; Malvales; Malvaceae. The record is from RNAcentral.
UAUAUAUAUAUAUAAAGGAAAGGCUGAAUUGGAGGGCACAGACCCGGCAUAUUUACAGCAUUGGCAGGAACCACCUUUAUAUCUCUUAUUAUGUAUACUCUUCUGAUGUCCAUGAACUACCCACGUGUACUUUUUAUCUUUUAUUUAUAAGGUUCCCCCAGCAUUGGUCUGCUCGACCCAGAUCUUCAAUUCUCGUCCCCAGCAGUGGUUUAAAAUUAGUUAAAGAGGUGUUGUAUGAGAUGGGGCAACCGUGAGAGAUGAGCUUUCAUGGACCCAUAACGGGGGA